Molecule: long non-coding RNA, 967 nt
Filed under: Cyanistes caeruleus (blue tit)
Lineage: Eukaryota; Metazoa; Chordata; Aves; Passeriformes; Paridae
Description: lncRNA (ENSCCEG00000010852.1)
Source: RNAcentral
GGACUUGAAUUUUUGCUGUGGGAAUGUGAAAAACACGGGAAGCUGCUCUCUGCCAAGUUAUUUCCCCAAGGAUCUGCUUUACAUACUGACAAUCAAUGACCUGUCAGGUGUAGUUAUGCACCAUAGCAAUGAUAUGAGGUCAAUCAGAUGAAACCAAGACAUUUUGAAUUCAUCUGUUGAUUUUCUGUGCUGCAAGACCAGCAUGUGAAUCAUGUCAGCAACUGCACUCCAUGUUUCAAAAACAUGUAAAAACAUUACAGUUCUUCAAACAGAAGAAGCAGAGAUCUGGAUCCCCAGUGGAGUGCUGGAAAAAGAACACAAAGCAAGGAAGUACCAGAUCCAGUUGCCUUUCUCCUUCCUGCCACUCCAGAGCCUUGCUGUAGGAGCAGAUUGGGCUGCUCCAAACCAGCUGGCAGAGAAAAGCAUCCAUUUGACAGGCGGGCAGAGCGGCAAAGGGGAGCUGGAGGCUGGAGAGGACCGCGCUCUCCAGGGGAGAUGCAGGUUUUUGGCAAGCUGCAGCCUGCCCUCAGAGUGCACCUGCCCACAGUGAGGGGCUGAGGGGACAGCCUGCAGCAGGGCAGAAAGAGCUGGGGGCCACGUCCUCAGCUGCUGCCUGCUCCAGUGGGACAGUGAAAGAUGGCCAACUACUCACAUCUCCAGAGAUCAAGCCCCUACUGGAGCCUUUCCUUCUAUUCCCAGGGCUGCUCAGUGCCCUGUGGCCUGCAGCUUCAUGCUACUCCACUGUUUCCCUCCCAAAAACCCUGGUAGAGUGGAGUUGUGCUGGCUGCCCAUCUCCCUGCAGAAGACACUGCGUGCUGCCUCCCCGAGCUGUGUCUCGUCCAGGUGCCAUAGCCUAAAUGACAGCUUGUGGGGCCACUGGGGUAAAAUGCUGCCCAUCCAGCCUAUCAAGGGACCCUGUUUUACCCAUUUGGUCCUCAAUGGGGAAUAAAUGUUCAUUGAAAUGACA